This 460-nucleotide ribosomal RNA is filed under the name uncultured bacterium. RNAcentral describes it as "partial 16S ribosomal RNA". It matches the Rfam family "Bacterial small subunit ribosomal RNA", at positions 338 to 795 of the family's 1533-position model. The record is from RNAcentral.
CCUACGGGGGGCAGCAGUGAGGAAUAUUGGUCAAUGGACGAGAGUCUGAACCAGCCAAGUAGCGUGAAGGAUGACUGCCCUAUGGGUUGUAAACUUCUUUUAUAUGGGAAUAAAAUGUUCCACGUGUGGGAUUUUGUAUGUACCAUAUGAAUAAGGAUCGGCUAACUCCGUGCCAGCAGCCGCGGUAAUACGGAGGAUCCGAGCGUUAUCCGGUUUUAUUGGGUUUAAAGGGAGCGUAGGUGGAUUGUUAAGUCAGUUGUGAAAGUUUGCGGCUCAACCGUAAAAUUGCAGUUGAAACUGGCAGUCUUGAGUACAGUAGAGGUGGGCGGAAUUCGUGGUGUAGCGGUGAAAUGCUUAGAUAUCACGAAGAACUCCGAUUGCGAAGGCAGUUCACUGGACUGCAACUGACACUGAGGCUCGAAAGUGUGGGUAUCAAACAGGAUUAGAUACCCUUGUAGUC